This 253-nucleotide ribosomal RNA is filed under the name uncultured bacterium. Its description in RNAcentral is "partial 16S ribosomal RNA". It matches the Rfam family "Bacterial small subunit ribosomal RNA", at positions 524 to 776 of the family's 1533-position model. The record is from RNAcentral.
UACGAAGGGUGCAAGCGUUACUCGGAAUUACUGGGCGUAAAGGGCGCGUAGGCGGCCCGCUAAGUCGAACGUGAAAUCCCCGAGCUCAACUCGGGAACUGCGUCCGAUACUGGCGGGCUUGAAUCCGGGAGAGGGAUGCGGAAUUCCAGGUGUAGCGGUGAAAUGCGUAGAUAUCUGGAGGAACACCGGUGGCGAAGGCGGCAUCCUGGACCGGCAUUGACGCUGAGGCGCGAAAGCUAGGGGAGCAAACGGG